Molecule: non-coding RNA, 75 nt
Organism: Trichonephila clavata
Lineage: Eukaryota; Metazoa; Arthropoda; Arachnida; Araneae; Nephilidae
Source: the annotation of a GenBank genome assembly
GUUUCCCUGCAGCGCAAUGAAAAGCGUGUUGGAUUUCUAAUCCAAAGGUCAUGGGUUCAAAUCCCAUCUAGAAUA